RNAcentral lists this ribosomal RNA (517 nucleotides) under uncultured bacterium. RNAcentral describes it as "bacterial SSU rRNA". It matches the Rfam family "Bacterial small subunit ribosomal RNA", at positions 8 to 521 of the family's 1533-position model. The record is from RNAcentral.
AGAGUUUGAUCCUGGCUCAGGAUGAACGCUGGCGGCGUGCUUAACACAUGCAAGUCGAAACGGAGAUGUUUCGCUGACGAGGCUUCGGCCAAAUCUUGAAGCAUCUUAGUGGCGGACGGGUGAGUAACGCGUGGGUAACCUGCCAUAUACAGGGGGAUAACACUUAGAAAUAGGUGCUAAUACCGGCAUAAGCGCACAGUUUCGCAUGGAACAGUGUGAAAAACUCCGGUGGUAUAUGAUGGACCCGCGUCUGAUUAGAUAGUUGGUGAGGUAACGGCUCACCAAGUCGACGAUCAGUAGCCGGCCUGAGAGGGUGAACGGCCACAUUGGGACUGAGACACGGCCCAAACUCCUACGGGAGGCAGCAGUGGGGAAUAUUGCACAAUGGGGGAAACCCUGAUGCAGCGACGCCGCGUGAGUGAAGAAGUAUUUCGGUACGUAAAGCUCUAUCAGCAGGGAAGAAAAUGACGGUACCUGACUAAGAAGCCCCGGCUAACUACGUGCCAGCAGCCGCGGU